Gorilla gorilla gorilla (western lowland gorilla) is the source of this 111-nucleotide ribosomal RNA. The record is from Ensembl. NCBI's taxonomy places the organism in Eukaryota, Metazoa, Chordata, Mammalia, Primates, Hominidae.
GCCCUCGGUGCAAUAGCAGCCUAAGGGCACCUGAGCUUGGAAGCUAAGCAGGGUUGGGCCUGUCUGGGGCUUGGAUGUGGGACCGCCUGGGGAGACUGGGCUCUGGAGGCU